This 240-nucleotide long non-coding RNA is filed under the name Phoenix dactylifera (date palm). Its description in RNAcentral is "long non-coding RNA (PDAC_LNC008508)". The record is from RNAcentral. Lineage: Eukaryota; Viridiplantae; Streptophyta; Magnoliopsida; Arecales; Arecaceae.
ACGUCCGCUCCUCCCAGUAGUCAGCAUUCUUCACGCGCGCCCCAUUCCUCUUCAGCGAUGAAGCAUCCUGUGAUCGCGUCUGGCUCCACCCUCUUCCGGAAACCCAGCAACCUCCCAUGCCCGUCCGACUGCAAGCGGGAUCCAAACAUCGCAUCCAGCCAUCCCGCCGAUCACGACUGCAGCUCCUCCGCCUUUGCUCCCUUCCGUUUCCGCAUCCAAGCAUGCGUGGCAUUCAACCUC